Molecule: unclassified non-coding RNA, 301 nt
Filed under: Glomus sp.
Lineage: Eukaryota; Fungi; Glomeromycota; Glomeromycetes; Glomerales; Glomeraceae
Description: partial contains 5.8S ribosomal RNA and internal transcribed spacer 2
Rfam family: 5.8S ribosomal RNA (bases 1-65)
Source: RNAcentral
GUGAAUCAUCGAAUUUUUGAACGCAAAUUGCACUCUCUUCGGAUAGUAUGCCUGUUUGAGGUUCAGCCUCAAAAAAUUCUACAUAGUCGCUGUUUCGCUGUUACAUUCGGCGGAAAUUGGGUCAUCUUAAACCUUUGGGUUUUAAACGGCUUAAAAUUUUCUUUACGAUUCCACGAACGUUUCUAAGAUUUACUUCUUACACGUUUAAGGUAAUCGAUCUUUAUUAGACGUGUCCGUUGCAUCGGAUCGCGUCCAUAAAUAUUUCGUUAACUGACCUCAUACAAGUAGGAACACCCGCUGA